UACGGGGGGGGCAAGCGUUGUUCGGAAUUACUGGGCGUAAAGGGUGCGUAGGCGGCCACGCACGUCCGUUGUGAAAUCGCCCGGCUCAACUGGGCGGGGUCAGCGGAUACGGUGUGGCUCGAGCAAGCUAGGGGGCAAUGGAAUUCCCGGUGUAGUGGUGAAAUGCGUAGAUAUCGGGAGGAACACCAGUGGCGAAGGCGACUUCCUGGCCUGUUCUUGACGCUGAGGCGCGAAGGCUAGGGGAGCAAACGGG
Molecule: ribosomal RNA, 253 nt
Filed under: uncultured bacterium
Lineage: Bacteria
Description: partial 16S ribosomal RNA
Rfam family: Bacterial small subunit ribosomal RNA
Source: RNAcentral